Non-coding RNA from Vanrija pseudolonga, 72 nucleotides. The record is from the annotation of a RefSeq genome assembly. Lineage: Eukaryota; Fungi; Basidiomycota; Tremellomycetes; Trichosporonales; Trichosporonaceae.
ACCGAAAUAGUUUAGCGGUUAAAACACGUCAUUCAUAACGAUGUAACAUUGGUUCGAUUCCAAUUUUCGGUA